ACACGACUACAUUAGAUACCCGUGUAGUCCUAGCCGUAAACGAUACUCGCUAGGUAUCGGCCACGGUGCGACCGUUGUCGGUGCCGUAGGGAAGCCGUGAAGCGAGCCACCUGGGAAGUACGGCCGCAAGGCUGAAACUUAAAGGAAUUGGCGGGGGAGCACCACAACGGGUGGAGCUUGCGGUUUAAUUGGAUUCAACGCCGGAAAUCUUACCGGGACCGACAGCAACAUGAAGGCCAGGCUGAAGACUUUGCCGGAUUAGCUG
RNAcentral lists this ribosomal RNA (265 nucleotides) under uncultured archaeon. Its description in RNAcentral is "partial 16S ribosomal RNA". It matches the Rfam family "Archaeal small subunit ribosomal RNA", at positions 719 to 982 of the family's 1478-position model. The record is from RNAcentral.